ACUUGUUGUAGAGGCCGCGAUUGUCAUCAGUACUAUAACAGAAAGUUCAAAUCUGAGAUUUGAUAACUUCAAUGUAUAGGAAAGGGGCCAUCGCCGAAAUAAAUAGAUAAGAGUCUAUUUAUUGGGUCUAUGUUUAAGAAGCAUAGAACUGUCUUAUGAGAAUUGCCCAAUUUUCAUAAAGAAGAGCUACAUCUUGU
Molecule: regulatory RNA element, 197 nt
Organism: Clostridium disporicum
Lineage: Bacteria; Bacillati; Bacillota; Clostridia; Eubacteriales; Clostridiaceae
Rfam family: Lysine riboswitch aptamer
About the family: Riboswitches are metabolite binding domains within certain messenger RNAs that serve as precision sensors for their corresponding targets. Allosteric rearrangement of mRNA structure is mediated by ligand binding, and this results in modulation of gene expression. This family includes riboswitches that sense lysine in a number of genes involved in lysine metabolism, including lysC.
Source: Rfam